GCUGAGGGUGGUGAUGUGCACCUGAAGUCCCAGCUACUCAGGAGGCUGAGGCAGGAGGAUCUCUUGGGACCAGGAAUUCAAGUGCCCCCUGGGCAACAUAGCAAGACCCCGCCUCCA
Molecule: small RNA, 117 nt
Filed under: Marmota monax (woodchuck)
Lineage: Eukaryota; Metazoa; Chordata; Mammalia; Rodentia; Sciuridae
Source: RNAcentral